GUACUCGAUGCGAACGGGUGAGUAACACGUGGGUGAUCUGCCUUGCACUUCGGGAUAAGCUUGGGAAACUGGGUCUAAUACCGGAUAGGACAGCUGUUUAGUGUCAGUUGUGGAAAGUUUUUUCGGUGCAAGAUGAGCUUGCGGCCUAUCAGCUUGUUGGUGGGGUAAUGGCCUACCAAGGCGUCGACGGGUAGCCGGCCUGAGAGGGUGUACGGCCACAUUGGGACUGAGAUACGGCCCAGACUCCUACGGGAGGCAGCAGUGGGGAAUAUUGCACAAUGGGCGGAAGCCUGAUGCAGCGACGCCGCGUGGGGGAUGAAGGCCUUCGGGUUGUAAACUCCUUUCGACAGGGACGAAGCGUAAGUGACGGUACCUGUAUAAGAAGCACCGGCUAACUACGUGCCAGCAGCCGCGGUAAUACGUAGGGUGCGAGCGUUGUCCGGAAUUACUGGGCGUAAAGAGCUCGUAGGUGGUUUGUCGCGUCGUCUGUGAAAUUCCGGGGCUUAACUCCGGGCGUGCAGGCGAUACGGGCUGACUUGAGUGCUGUAGGGGAGACUGGAAUUCCUGGUGUAGCGGUGAAAUGCGCAGAUAUCAGGAGGAACACCGAUGGCGAAGGCAGGUCUCUGGGCAGUAACUGACGCUGAGGAGCGAAAGCAUGGGUAGCGAACAGGAUUAGAUACCCUGGUAGUCCAUGCCGUAAACGCUGGGCGCUAGGUGUAGGGGGCUUCCACGUCUUCUGUGCCGUAGCUAACGCAUUAAGCGCCCCGCCUGGGGAGUACGCCGCAA
Molecule: ribosomal RNA, 786 nt
Filed under: uncultured Actinomycetes bacterium
Lineage: Bacteria; Bacillati; Actinomycetota; Actinomycetes
Description: bacterial SSU rRNA
Rfam family: Bacterial small subunit ribosomal RNA
Source: RNAcentral